GAAAGGCGGACUAAUACCCCAUGGUAUCCGGCUUGUCCGGGAUUAAAGAUUUAUCGCUCUGGGAGGGGCCUGCGUCUGAUUAGCUAGUUGGUGAGGUAAAAGCUCACCAAGGCGACGAUCAGUAGCUGGAUCGAGAGGUUGACCAGCCACACUGGGACUGAGAUACGGCCCAGACUCCUACGGGAGGCAGCAGUAAGGAAUAUUCCACAAUGGGGGAAACCCUGAUGGAGCAAUGCCGCGUGCAGGAUGAAGCGUUUCGGCGUGUAAACUGCUUUUAAACGGGAAGAUUAUGACGGUACCGUUAGAAUAAGGACCGGCUAAUUACGUG
This 328-nucleotide ribosomal RNA is filed under the name uncultured bacterium. RNAcentral describes it as "bacterial SSU rRNA". It matches the Rfam family "Bacterial small subunit ribosomal RNA", at positions 153 to 507 of the family's 1533-position model. The record is from RNAcentral.